GUAAAAAAGAUCCGUAUAUUUAACAGUGAAAGACAGUAAAAAUACGACAGGAAAAACCUGUUAACUAUAAAACAGUUUAAAACUGUUGAUUUGAUGUGAAAUUGCCGUAAAUAAAGUAAUGUGGAAAAACCGUAAUAUGUACAUUUUUUCUCUGAAAAAAAUACAUAAACCUACUGUAAAUCACUCUUGCAUAGUUUUUUUAACGGAAGAUUCCAAUAAAGUUUAGAACAGGCAAACACAAUUUUUUUUACAUUUAUUUAUUGAAAAAAAUACAGGUUUUAAUUGCUGAAUGUAAGCAUGGUUGUGCUGGUAAUGGAUACAUGCUGUAAUAUGACUUUGUGAUUUUUGCAUUAAUUUCACAAAAUAAUAAUAAUGGAUUAGAUAGCGGUUUUCAAGAAGCCCAAAGCACUUUACAUUAAAUCCAUUCUUGAUUCAUAGCACAUUUAAUACAGCAUAUUCUUCCUCAAAUUGUAAUAUAACAGGUAUGUCCCAAGAUCUUUAUACUAGAAAUGUAUUAGGGCAAUUUUUGGAUGUAGUUUUUGUAAAGAAUAUGGGAUGUAGCUGUUAAAUCUACAUUCUGUUGAACUCAAUAAACCAUGAGCUUAAAAUGUAAAAGCCAACAACAACUUGAGAGACCUACAGCUAAUGAUAGACAUACUAUAUUAUUGAGUGAAUUCAUAUAAUCCCAAAAGUGUUAAAAUAAUAAUCUGUUGUCUGUUCUAUUUAUCCAUAGUUAAUUAUCAUAUGAAGAAAAAAGAUUUUAAAAGCAUCUCCUCCCAAAACUAGGCGUUUUCCCCUGAAGUUUAGAGCACCAUUUCACAUCAAGGCGCCUGAUUUCAAACGGGCCAAUCAGCGCACUGCAUCAGGCUCCACCGCAGACAACGUCUGUACAGCUCCACACAAGUUUUGCUUUGGACUAAGGCAGCACGCUGUCUUCAUUUUCGUGGACUUGUUUCUCAUUUUAACGUCUGCCACAGCUCGUCUUCAGUUACUACGGGACAGCAUCUUCUGCCAGCAUCUACCAGAGGUCAGUCCAGUGGUUGCUUGCAAGAAGUCAUUGAGAUGAUUUUGACGAGAAGGGAGAGCUUCUGUUCCACUGCGUUGAGAUGACAACCCUUUCAGAAGAUGUUCAGAUGGAGAAAGUGCCACCAACGCCCUUCAUCAUUGUUUGCGGUUCCUCCUGCUUCGCUGCUGAAACAUUCAUGUUGAGCAUUGACAAGAAGAUUGUCAACGACCGCAUCACAACCUUCGCCUCUGCUAUCUGCCUAAUGUUUGGCAGUUACAGUACUACUGCUUUAACAUACACUACCCUGUGGAACUACGAUCAACACUGGAGUUCCUUCAACGGUGUUUCUUUUCCAUAAAUCCUGAGAGAGGCACCAAGGUUGAAUCAAAGAAGAAAAAAGUGUUCUCAGUCAAUCCCAGAGUCCUCACUCUCAUCUCAGACAUUGCUGACCAUGAGUGGAUCUAGUCCUACCCCUCUUGUUUGAGACAAAGUGAUAAAGGUAUACUAUGUUACAUACUCUACAGAUUUUCUGUUUUUGAAACAUUGUUACAAUUCUGAUUGUGAGUGGGAAGUUUUUAACAAUGUGAAGUUUUACUAGACAAAAUUUCUAAAAGUACAUGUUCUACUUUUGAUUCACUGUUUUAUAUAUGAAAAAUGUAUCUGGUAAAAGUGUGGUAAACCUGCGAUUUUGUUUCUUGGAUUUUAAUUUUCCCAGUUUUAAAGAUAUUUGUAUUCCAAUAGUGUAAAAGUAUGCUGCAUGUACAUUGCUGGCAUUUUGUAGUUAUCCAAAAAUUUGCAGUUGAAGUUCUCAAAACAAGUGUAAAGUUUUUGUUUGUUACCUGAUGCAGUUUAAAGAUGUACAUUUUCAGCUUUACUGCUCAGUUCUGUGUGCAAAAUAUGUGGGUGUAAACUUGUUCCUGUAAUUUCUUCAAUUCAGAUUUUCUUUCAAUUAUAGAAAAAAAAUGUUUCAUUCUCUAUAUUUGUAUUUGGAUAAUUUGAAAAGUCAAGAUUCUGUACUGACAUUUAUGUAGUGAGAACAGCACCAAAAACACUUAAAGGUGUCUGAAUUUUCUGCUAAAGGUAAUGUGAAAUAUAAUGUGUGCUCAACUUACAGCACUGGUUUUGCACAAUUUGAACAGAACUUGUAAGAAUUCUGUGAUUCCUCAGUGUUACUGUCAUGGAGAUAACUUAUUUGUGAUUUGUUGAGUAAAAAUGUAAAUGUUUGAUGUUCAAAACAUCAAAGAUUUUAAAUAAAAUACUUUUUUGGAAAUUUAAGGUGGACAUUUUUGUGUUACAUUUAGUAAUUUGAAUAAAAUCAUGGUUUGUGUAAUAAGCUUACAGAGUAGAACACUUAAAAGCACUCUAGUCUA
Molecule: long non-coding RNA, 2376 nt
Organism: Oreochromis niloticus (Nile tilapia)
Lineage: Eukaryota; Metazoa; Chordata; Actinopteri; Cichliformes; Cichlidae
Exons: 4
Source: RefSeq, a predicted model, not a curated record